UACGAAGGGUGCAAGCGUUAAUCGGAAUUACUGGGCGUAAAGCGCGCGUAGGUGGUUCAGUAAGUUGGAAGUGAAAUCCCCGGGCUCAACCUGGGAACUGCAUCCAAAACUGCUGAGCUAGAGUACGGUAGAGGGUGGUGGAAUUUCCUGUGUAGCGGUGAAAUGCGUAGAUAUAGGAAGGAACACCAGUGGCGAAGGCGACCACCUGGACUGAUACUGACACUGAGGUGCGAAAGCAUGGGGAGCAAACAGG
This 253-nucleotide ribosomal RNA is filed under the name uncultured bacterium. Its description in RNAcentral is "partial 16S ribosomal RNA". It matches the Rfam family "Bacterial small subunit ribosomal RNA", at positions 524 to 776 of the family's 1533-position model. The record is from RNAcentral.